This 254-nucleotide ribosomal RNA is filed under the name uncultured bacterium. RNAcentral's name for it is "partial 16S ribosomal RNA". It matches the Rfam family "Bacterial small subunit ribosomal RNA", at positions 524 to 776 of the family's 1533-position model. The record is from RNAcentral.
UACAGAGGGUGCAAGCGUUAAUCGGAAUUACUGGGCGUAAAGCGUGCGCAGGCGGUUCGUGUGAUCGGUGGUGAAAGCCCCGGGCUUAACCUGGGAAUGGCCAUGGAAACUGGCGAACUGGAGUGUGGCAGAGGGGGGUGGAAUUCCGCGGUGUAGCAGUGAAAUGCGUAGAGAUGCGGAGGAACACCGAUGGCGAAGGCAGCCCCCUGGGCUAACACUGACGCUCAGGCACGAAAGCGUGGGGAGCAAACAGG